Molecule: ribosomal RNA, 1308 nt
Filed under: metagenome
Description: bacterial SSU rRNA
Rfam family: Eukaryotic small subunit ribosomal RNA
Source: RNAcentral
ACUGCGUUCGACCUUCACUCUUCACACGCGGAACCAUUGGGGCUGUGGAAACCUCCUUGAUUGGUGGUAGAAGCGCUUCCGCAUUCAACACAUGCAUAUGCCCCUGUCCGUGGAGGUUACUGUGAACAAAACAGCGUGUCCAAAGCAACCACAUGUCUGGCUGAAUGAUCUAGCAUGGAAUAACAAGGCAUCGACCACUGGAGUCAGCCUUUUUGUUGGUUUUACAUGACCCAGUUGGGCAAUGCAGGGCUUGUGCUUCAUUGAGGUUCUUAGUCAGCUCUACCGAACUGUCUUCCCUCAGUUGGACCUUGUUCCCUAUCGGGAUCAAUGGAAGCCAUCGGGGUGGUAUGUAUUCCGACGUGAGCGGUGAAAUGCUUAGACCGUUGGAAGACAAACGACAGCGAAGGCAUUCCGCCAGAAUGUUUUCAUUAAUCAAGAACGAGAGUGUGGGGAUCGAAGAUGAUCAGAUACCAUCGUAGUCCAUUACCGUAAACUAUGCCAACUCGGCAUUGGGAGUCUGUUCACUUUGAAGACUCUCCCGGCAUCAUCCCCCAAUAACGAGAAAUCCAAGUCUAUGGGUUCAGGGGGGAGUACAGUCGCAAGGCUGAAACUUAAAGGAAUUGACGGAAUGACACCACAAGGCGUGGAGUAUGCGGCUUAAUUUGACACAACACGGGGAAGCUCACCAGGUCAGACACAGUAAGGAUUGACAGAUUGAGAGCUCUUUCUUGAUCCUAUGGAUGGUGGUGCAUGGCCGUUUCUGGUUCGUGGAGUGAUCUGUCUGCUUAAUUGCGAUAACGAACGAGAUCUCUACCUCUAAAUAGGCGCCGGUCUCGCAUGUAAGUAGGGAUGUGUUGGGGGCCUUCGUGUCCCCUCAUGUCCUGAGAGUGCCGGGAUCGCUUCUUAGACGGACUGUGCAUGUCUUUAAUGCACGGAAGAGGGAGUCAAUAGCAGGUCUGUGAUGCUCCUAGAUGUUCUGGGCUGCACGCGCACUACACUGGCACAGUAAACGAGUUGCACCUGCUUCGGCAGUCCUGCUUAGAAGUGAGCGUGGGAAAUCUUAGAAAACUGUGCCGUGCUGGGGAUAGAUGAUUGCGAUUAUUUGUCUUGAACGAGGAAUGCCUAGUAGAGGUACUUCAUCAGAGUACCUUGAUUGUGUCCCUGCCAUUUGUACACACCGCCCGUCGUUGCUACCGAUUGGCUGUAAAAUAGAGGCCUUAAGAGUCGCUUCCGCAAAGCUUUGCUUUUGAGGUUGUGACAAAUCUGGCCAAUAUUUCAUUGCUAGAGGAAGCAAAAGUCGUAACAAGG